AGCGUACACGGUGGAUGCCCUGGCAGUCAGAGGCGAUGAAGGACGUGCUAAUCUGCGAUAAGCGUCGGUAAGGUGAUAUGAACCGUUAUAACCGGCGAUUUCCGAAUGGGGAAACCCAGUGUGAUUCGUCACACUAUCAUUAACUGAAUCCAUAGGUUAAUGAGGCGAACCGGGGGAACUGAAACAUCUAAGUACCCCGAGGAAAAGAAAUCAACCGAGAUUCCCCCAGUAGCGGCGAGCGAACGGGGAGCAGCCCAGAGCCUGAAUCAGUGUGUGUGUUAGUGGAAGCGUCUGGAAAGGCGUGCGAUACAGGGUGACAGCCCCGUACACAAAAAUGCACAUACUGUGAGCUCGAUGAGUAGGGCGGGACACGUGGUAUCCUGUCUGAAUAUGGGGGGACCAUCCUCCAAGGCUAAAUACUCCUGACUGACCGAUAGUGAACCAGUACCGUGAGGGAAAGGCGAAAAGAACCCCGGCGAGGGGAGUGAAAAAGAACCUGAAACCGUGUACGUACAAGCAGUGGGAGCACAGAGCAAUCUGUGUGACUGCGUACCUUUUGUAUAAUGGGUCAGCGACUUAUAUUCUGUAGCAAGGUUAACCGAAUAGGGGAGCCGAAGGGAAACCGAGUCUUAACUGGGCGUUAAGUUGCAGGGUAUAGACCCGAAACCCGGUGAUCUAGCCAUGGGCAGGUUGAAGGUUGGGUAACACUAACUGGAGGACCGAACCGACUAAUGUUGAAAAAUUAGCGGAUGACUUGUGGCUGGGGGUGAAAGGCCAAUCAAACCGGGAGAUAGCUGGUUCUCCCCGAAAGCUAUUUAGGUAGCGCCUCGUGAAUUCAUCUCCGGGGGUAGAGCACUGUUUCGGCAAGGGGGUCAUCCCGACUUACCAACCCGAUGCAAACUGCGAAUACCGGAGAAUGUUAUCACGGGAGACACACGGCGGGUGCUAACGUCCGUCGUGAAGAGGGAAACAACCCAGACCGCCAGCUAAGGUCCCAAAGUCAUGGUUAAGUGGGAAACGAUGUGGGAAGGCCCAGACAGCCAGGAUGUUGGCUUAGAAGCAGCCAUCAUUUAAAGAAAGCGUAAUAGCUCACUGGUCGAGUCGGCCUGCGCGGAAGAUGUAACGGGGCUAAACCAUGCACCGAAGCUGCGGCAGCGACACUAUGUGUUGUUGGGUAGGGGAGCGUUCUGUAAGCCUGUGAAGGUGUACUGUGAGGUAUGCUGGAGGUAUCAGAAGUGCGAAUGCUGACAUAAGUAACGAUAAAGCGGGUGAAAAGCCCGCUCGCCGGAAGACCAAGGGUUCCUGUCCAACGUUAAUCGGGGCAGGGUGAGUCGACCCCUAAGGCGAGGCCGAAAGGCGUAGUCGAUGGGAAACAGGUUAAUAUUCCUGUACUUGGUGUUACUGCGAAGGGGGGACGGAGAAGGCUAUGUUGGCCGGGCGACGGUUGUCCCGGUUUAAGCGUGUAGGCUGGUUUUCCAGGCAAAUCCGGAAAAUCAAGGCUGAGGCGUGAUGACGAGGCACUACGGUGCUGAAGCAACAAAUGCCCUGCUUCCAGGAAAAGCCUCUAAGCAUCAGGUAACAUCAAAUCGUACCCCAAACCGACACAGGUGGUCAGGUAGAGAAUACCAAGGCGCUUGAGAGAACUCGGGUGAAGGAACUAGGCAAAAUGGUGCCGUAACUUCGGGAGAAGGCACGCUGAUAUGUAGGUGAAGUCCCUCGCGGAUGGAGCUGAAAUCAGUCGAAGAUACCAGCUGGCUGCAACUGUUUAUUAAAAACACAGCACUGUGCAAACACGAAAGUGGACGUAUACGGUGUGACGCCUGCCCGGUGCCGGAAGGUUAAUUGAUGGGGUUAGCGCAAGCGAAGCUCUUGAUCGAAGCCCCGGUAAACGGCGGCCGUAACUAUAACGGUCCUAAGGUAGCGAAAUUCCUUGUCGGGUAAGUUCCGACCUGCACGAAUGGCGUAAUGAUGGCCAGGCUGUCUCCACCCGAGACUCAGUGAAAUUGAACUCGCUGUGAAGAUGCAGUGUACCCGCGGCAAGACGGAAAGACCCCGUGAACCUUUACUAUAGCUUGACACUGAACAUUGAGCCUUGAUGUGUAGGAUAGGUGGGAGGCUUUGAAGUGUGGACGCCAGUCUGCAUGGAGCCGACCUUGAAAUACCACCCUUUAAUGUUUGAUGUUCUAACGUUGACCCGUGAUCCGGGUUGCGGACAGUGUCUGGUGGGUAGUUUGACUGGGGCGGUCUCCUCCUAAAGAGUAACGGAGGAGCACGAAGGUUGGCUAAUCCUGGUCGGACAUCAGGAGGUUAGUGCAAUGGCAUAAGCCAGCUUGACUGCGAGCGUGACGGCGCGAGCAGGUGCGAAAGCAGGUCAUAGUGAUCCGGUGGUUCUGAAUGGAAGGGCCAUCGCUCAACGGAUAAAAGGUACUCCGGGGAUAACAGGCUGAUACCGCCCAAGAGUUCAUAUCGACGGCGGUGUUUGGCACCUCGAUGUCGGCUCAUCACAUCCUGGGGCUGAAGUAGGUCCCAAGGGUAUGGCUGUUCGCCAUUUAAAGUGGUACGCGAGCUGGGUUUAGAACGUCGUGAGACAGUUCGGUCCCUAUCUGCCGUGGGCGCUGGAGAACUGAGGGGGGCUGCUCCUAGUACGAGAGGACCGGAGUGGACGCAUCACUGGUGUUCGGGUUGUCAUGCCAAUGGCACUGCCCGGUAGCUAAAUGCGGAAGAGAUAAGUGCUGAAAGCAUCUAAGCACGAAACUUGCCCCGAGAUGAGUUCUCCCUGACUCCUUGA
Molecule: ribosomal RNA, 2788 nt
Filed under: Escherichia coli
Lineage: Bacteria; Pseudomonadati; Pseudomonadota; Gammaproteobacteria; Enterobacterales; Enterobacteriaceae
Description: bacterial LSU rRNA
Rfam family: Bacterial large subunit ribosomal RNA
Source: RNAcentral